This 1489-nucleotide ribosomal RNA is filed under the name Lactiplantibacillus pentosus. RNAcentral describes it as "bacterial SSU rRNA". It matches the Rfam family "Bacterial small subunit ribosomal RNA". The record is from RNAcentral. Lineage: Bacteria; Bacillati; Bacillota; Bacilli; Lactobacillales; Lactobacillaceae.
GACGAACGCUGGCGGCGUGCCUAAUACAUGCAAGUCGAACGAACUCAGGUAUUGAUUGGUGCUUGCAUCAUGAUUUACAUUUGAGUGAGUGGCGAACUGGUGAGUAACACGUGGGAAACCUGCCCAGAAGCGGGGGAUAACACCUGGAAACAGAUGCUAAUACCGCAUAACAACUUGGACCGCAUGGUCCGAGUUUGAAAGAUGGCUUCGGCUAUCACUUUUGGAUGGUCCCGCGGCGUAUUAGCUAGAUGGUGGGGUAACGGCUCACCAUGGCAAUGAUACGUAGCCGACCUGAGAGGGUAAUCGGCCACAUUGGGACUGAGACACGGCCCAAACUCCUACGGGAGGCAGCAGUAGGGAAUCUUCCACAAUGGACGAAAGUCUGAUGGAGCAACGCCGCGUGAGUGAAGAAGGGUUUCGGCUCGUAAAACUCUGUUGUUAAAGAAGAACAUAUCUGAGAGUAACUGUUCAGGUAUUGACGGUAUUUAACCAGAAAGCCACGGCUAACUACGUGCCAGCAGCCGCGGUAAUACGUAGGUGGCAAGCGUUGUCCGGAUUUAUUGGGCGUAAAGCGAGCGCAGGCGGUUUUUUAAGUCUGAUGUGAAAGCCUUCGGCUCAACCGAAGAAGUGCAUCGGAAACUGGGAAACUUGAGUGCAGAAGAGGACAGUGGAACUCCAUGUGUAGCGGUGAAAUGCGUAGAUAUAUGGAAGAACACCAGUGGCGAAGGCGGCUGUCUGGUCUGUAACUGACGCUGAGGCUCGAAAGUAUGGGUAGCGAACAGGAUUAGAUACCCUGGUAGUCCAUACCGUAAACGAUGAAUGCUAAGUGUUGGAGGGUUUCCGCCCUUCAGUGCUGCAGCUAACGCAUUAAGCAUUCCGCCUGGGGAGUACGGCCGCAAGGCUGAAACUCAAAGGAAUUGACGGGGGCCCGCACAAGCGGUGGAGCAUGUGGUUUAAUUCGAAGCUACGCGAAGAACCUUACCAGGUCUUGACAUACUAUGCAAAUCUAAGAGAUUAGACGUUCCCUUCGGGGACAUGGAUACAGGUGGUGCAUGGUUGUCGUCAGCUCGUGUCGUGAGAUGUUGGGUUAAGUCCCGCAACGAGCGCAACCCUUAUUAUCAGUUGCCAGCAUUAAGUUGGGCACUCUGGUGAGACUGCCGGUGACAAACCGGAGGAAGGUGGGGAUGACGUCAAAUCAUCAUGCCCCUUAUGACCUGGGCUACACACGUGCUACAAUGGAUGGUACAACGAGUUGCGAACUCGCGAGAGUAAGCUAAUCUCUUAAAGCCAUUCUCAGUUCGGAUUGUAGGCUGCAACUCGCCUACAUGAAGUCGGAAUCGCUAGUAAUCGCGGAUCAGCAUGCCGCGGUGAAUACGUUCCCGGGCCUUGUACACACCGCCCGUCACACCAUGAGAGUUUGUAACACCCAAAGUCGGUGGGGUAACCUUUUAGGAACCAGCCGCCUAAGGUGGGACAGAUGAUUAGGGUG